RNAcentral lists this ribosomal RNA (423 nucleotides) under uncultured bacterium. Its description in RNAcentral is "bacterial SSU rRNA". It matches the Rfam family "Bacterial small subunit ribosomal RNA", at positions 207 to 622 of the family's 1533-position model. The record is from RNAcentral.
AAGACCUUGCGCUUUUGGAGCGGCCGAUGCCUGAUUAGCUAGUUGGUGGGGUAAUGGCCUACCAAAGCUUCGAUCAGUAGCUGGUCUGAGAGGACGGCCAGCCACACUGGGACUGAGACACGGCCCAGACUCCUACGGGAGGCAGCAGUGGGGAAUUUUGGACAAUGGGCGCAAGCCUGAUCCAGCCAUGCCGCGUGAGUGAAGAAGGCCUUCGGGUUGUAAAGCUCUUUCAGCCGGGAAGAAAGGGUUGCGAUUAAUAAUCGCAAUUUAUGACGGUACCGGAAGAAGAAGCACCGGCUAACUACGUGCCAGCAGCCGCGGUAAUACGUAGGGUGCGAGCGUUAAUCGGAAUUACUGGGCGUAAAGGGUGCGCAGGCGGUUUUGUAAGUCAGAUGUGAAMUCCCCGGGCUUAACCUGGGAACU